Non-coding RNA from Desulfobacteraceae bacterium 4484_190.1, 37 nucleotides. Lineage: Bacteria; Pseudomonadati; Thermodesulfobacteriota; Desulfobacteria; Desulfobacterales; Desulfobacteraceae. The record is from Rfam.
GUUGCACCCGGUCUUAGGAUCGGGUGAGGAUUGAAAC